CGCGUAGGCGGCUUUCUAAGUCGGGGGUGAAAACCUGUGGCUCAACCACAGGCCUGCCUCCGAAACUGGAUAGCUUGAGGCCGUGAGAGGAAAGCGGAAUUCCUGGUGUAUCGGUGAAAUGAGUUGAUAUCAGGAGGAACACCGGUGGCGAAGGCGGCUUUCUGGUGCGGUUCUGACGCUGAGGUGCGAAAGCAUGGGGAGCAAACG
This 207-nucleotide ribosomal RNA is filed under the name uncultured bacterium. Its description in RNAcentral is "partial 16S ribosomal RNA". It matches the Rfam family "Bacterial small subunit ribosomal RNA", at positions 568 to 774 of the family's 1533-position model. The record is from RNAcentral.